UAACGUUCGGAAACGGACGCUAAUACCGCAUACGUCCUACGGGAGAAAGCAGGGGACCUUCGGGCCUUGCGCUAUCAGAUGAGCCUAGGUCGGAUUAGCUAGUUGGUGGGGUAAUGGCUCACCAAGGCGACGAUCCGUAACUGGUCUGAGAGGAUGAUCAGUCACACUGGAACUGAGACACGGUCCAGACUCCUACGGGAGGCAGCAGUGGGGAAUAUUGGACAAUGGGCGAAAGCCUGAUCCAGCCAUGCCGCGUGUGUGAAGAAGGUCUUCGGAUUGUAAAGCACUUUAAGUUGGGAGGAAGGGCAGUAAAUUAAUACUUUGCUGUUUUGACGUUACCGACAGAAUAAGCACCGGCUAACUCUGUGCCAGCAGCCGCGGUAAUACAGAGGGUGCAAGCGUUAAUCGGAAUUACUGGGCGUAAAGCGCGCGUAGGUGGUUCGUUAAGUUGGAUGUGAAAUCCCCGGGCUCAACCUGGGAACUGCAUUCAAAACUGACNAGCUANAGUAUGGUAGAGGGUGGUGGAAUUUCCUGUGUAGCGGUGAAAUG
Molecule: ribosomal RNA, 549 nt
Filed under: Pseudomonas sp. enrichment culture clone WIP10m9B
Lineage: Bacteria; Pseudomonadati; Pseudomonadota; Gammaproteobacteria; Pseudomonadales; Pseudomonadaceae
Description: bacterial SSU rRNA
Rfam family: Bacterial small subunit ribosomal RNA
Source: RNAcentral